AUGGACAGCUGGGCAUCCUCUGCAAAGUCAUACAGAAACGGUGCCAGGGCUAUAAAUUCGGCCCAGCUAUCUGUCUCAAAACUAAAUGCCCUUGGUCGGAAACCCCUACUAUUUCUUGGAAAUCCUGGCCGCAAAGGAAAAUCUGUGGGGGACUUGAUUCACUUUAUCCCCACAGAUAACGUCUUGGUGAAGGAUAUCAUUUCCAAAAUGAGCAAAUGCUAUGAGCUCCUCCUGACAAUGUUGCAGGGCUGUGCUCCACAAGCAGCUGUGCCCCCCCUGGAAAACAGCGGUCCACCAGCCCCUCCUGUGUGCUCUCAGCCUCCUCCAGAACCCUUCUCAUCCCCUCAAACUCCUCCAUCCUUCUCCAACUCCCAACCUCCUUCCUUCUCAUCCCCUCAAACUCCUCCAUCCUUCUCCAACUCCCAACCUCCUCCAUCUUUCCACAACUUAGAACCUCCUCCAUCCUUCUCCAACUCCCAACCUCCUUCCUUCUCAUCCCCUCAAACUCCUCCAUCCUUCUCUAACUCUGAACCUCCUCCAUCUUUCCACAACUUAGAAACUCCUCCAUCCUUCUCCAACUCCCAACCUCCUUCCUUCUCAUCCCCUCAAACUCCUCCAUCCUUCUCCAACUCCCAAGCUCCUUUCCUUCUCCAACUCCCAACCUCCUCCAUCCUUCUCAGACCCUCAAAUUCCUCCAUCCUUCUCUAACUCUGAACCUCCUCCAUCUUUCCACAACUUAGAACCUCCUCCAUCCUUCUCCAACUCCCAACCUCCUUCCUUCUCUAACUCUCAACCUUCUCCAUCCUUCUCCCCUCAACCUCAUCCAUCCCUCUCCAACUUUGAACCUCCUUGAUCUCCAGCCUCCUCUUCCAAGAAGAGACCCAAAAUAAAAGGUUUGAUUUACUCUGCAUGCUACAUAAAUGUAUUACAUUGUUAGGGUUUUCUAAUUAACACAAUAUACUUCAUGUGAUUUGUAUUAAGCUUUUCUACUUUAUCUUUUUUGAAUGCAGAAAACACAAAAAUCAAACCAAGCCAAGCCGUUCAGAUUUUGUUGCCCACGAGAGUCAGAUCCAGGAUGGACCUUAUCUGGAGUGGGGCCAAAAGCGCCCUGGCCCUCCCUCUAAAAAUAAGCGAGCUGAGCUGCUCCUAUUUUCGGUACUCAUCGCAUGGGGUACCAAGCUGUCUGAAAGGGUGCCGAAAAUAUGAAGCUAUACACUGCCGUCAGUUGAUUGGUCGAAAGAAUAACUUUGGCCUUAAAAGAGGCCUAUGUGUAGUCACCUUUGCAGGAGUGAAGAGAGUAUUGUGUUUAGAGAAAAGGAUUACAUGAACGUUAUGGCAUAUUUGGCUAUAACAUGUAAAAUUGUUAGGUUAGGUUACCAAUUUCUACAGGAUUUUGUGUUGGACCAUUUAAAAACAAAUUCAACUCAUACUGUUGGACCCAGAUAGACAGUGUUUAAAAUUUGAUGCUUAAUCCUUGUAUUAAAUAAUAAAUUCUAAGUUGUGUGGUGAUAGUAUCUGUCUCUACAGGAAAUGCCUUUCUCUCACAACUACUUCUGUCAUAUUUUCUGAUGUCAUGCCUUUCAGGGAAAAGAAGAGGUGAAAGUCUCUUGGACACCAUGCCCCAAGUGGUAAGUUUGACUGGAAACAAAGGAUUUAUAAAACAUUUUUAAAGCUAUAGUGUGUAACUUCUGCCGGGGCCCAAGAGGAAUUCUGAGUAAUUACAACAACACUGUCGGUGCAUCUACAUGAGGUACACUUUUGCUGAUCGCACAUCAAUU
Long non-coding RNA from Gadus morhua (Atlantic cod), 1778 nucleotides. Lineage: Eukaryota; Metazoa; Chordata; Actinopteri; Gadiformes; Gadidae. The record is from Ensembl.